AUGAACGCUAGCGACAGGCCUAACACAUGCAAGUCGAGGGGCAGCACAAGGAGCAAUCUGAGGUGGCGACCGGCGCACGGGUGAGUAACACGUAUGCAACCUGCCUGUAAGCGGGGAAUAACCCGUUGAAAGACGGACUAAGUACCGCAUAAUACUAAAUUACUGCAUGGUAAUUUAUUUAAACAUUUAUGGCUUACAGAUGGGCAUGCGCAUGAUUAGCUAGUUGGAGAGGUAACGGCUCCCCAAGGCAACGAUCAUUAGGGGUUCUGGAGAGGAAGGUCCCCCACACUCGGUACUGAGACACGGACCAGACUCCUACGGGAGGCAGCAGUGAGGAAUAUUGGUCAAUGGACGAGAGUCUGAACCAGCCAAGUCGCGUGCAGGAAGAAUGUCCUAAUGGAUUGUAAACUGCUUUUGCAGGGGAAUUAAAGUGCAUCACGUGUGAUGUUUUGUAUGUACUCUGCGAAUAAGGAUCGGCUAACUCCGUGCCAGCAGCCGC
This 499-nucleotide ribosomal RNA is filed under the name uncultured bacterium. RNAcentral's name for it is "bacterial SSU rRNA". It matches the Rfam family "Bacterial small subunit ribosomal RNA", at positions 29 to 518 of the family's 1533-position model. The record is from RNAcentral.